ACAAGCGGUGGAUCAUGUGUUUAAUUCGAUGAUACGCGAAGAACCUUACCAGGUCUUGACAUCCCCCGCGAUGCUUUAGAGAUAAAGCGGAGGUAUUCGGGGAGACAGGUGGUGCAUGGUUGUCGUCAGCUCGUGUCGUGAGAUGUUGGGUUAAGUCCCGCAACGAGCGCAACCCCUAUUGCUAGUUACCAUCAUUAAGUUGGGGACUCUAGCGAGACUGCCAGUGAUAAACUGGAGGAAGGUGGGGAUGACGUCAAAUCAUCAUGCCCCUUAUGACCUGGGCUACAAACGUGAUACAAUGGCUGGAACAAAGGGAUGCGAAGCAGUGAUGUGGAGCGAAACCCAUAAAAACAGUCUCAGUUCGGAUUGAAGUCUGCAACUCGACUUCAUGAAGUCGGAAUCGCUAGUAAUCGCGGAUCAGAACGCCGCGGUGAAUACGUUCUCGGGGUUU
RNAcentral lists this ribosomal RNA (451 nucleotides) under uncultured Acholeplasma sp. RNAcentral's name for it is "bacterial SSU rRNA". It matches the Rfam family "Bacterial small subunit ribosomal RNA", at positions 925 to 1382 of the family's 1533-position model. The record is from RNAcentral. Lineage: Bacteria; Bacillati; Mycoplasmatota; Mollicutes; Acholeplasmatales; Acholeplasmataceae.